This 497-nucleotide ribosomal RNA is filed under the name uncultured bacterium. RNAcentral's name for it is "partial 16S ribosomal RNA". It matches the Rfam family "Bacterial small subunit ribosomal RNA", at positions 28 to 507 of the family's 1533-position model. The record is from RNAcentral.
GACGAACGCUGGCGGCGUGCCUAAUACAUGCAAGUUGAGCGCUGAAGGUUGGUACUUGUACCAACUGGAUGAGCAGCGAACGGGUGAGUAACGCGUGGGGAAUCUGCCUUUGAGCGGGGGACAACAUUUGGAAACGAAUGCUAAUACCGCAUAAAAACUUUAAACACAAGUUUUAAGUUUGAAAGAUGCAAUUGCAUCACUCAAAGAUGAUCCCGCGUUGUAUUAGCUAGUUGGUGAGGUAAAGGCUCACCAAGGCGAUGAUACAUAGCCGACCUGAGAGGGUGAUCGGCCACAUUGGGACUGAGACACGGCCCAAACUCCUACGGGAGGCAGCAGUAGGGAAUCUUCGGCAAUGGACGAAAGUCUGACCGAGCAACGCCGCGUGAGUGAAGAAGGUUGUCGGAUAGUAAAACUCUGUUGGUAGAGAAGAACGUUGGUGAGAGUGGAAAGCUCAUCAGGUGACGGUAACUACACAGAAAGGGACGGCUAACUACGUG